Molecule: ribosomal RNA, 494 nt
Filed under: uncultured bacterium
Lineage: Bacteria
Description: partial 16S ribosomal RNA
Rfam family: Bacterial small subunit ribosomal RNA
Source: RNAcentral
GACGAACGCUGGCGGCGUGCUUAACACAUGCAAGUCGAACGGAAAGGCCUGCUUUCCCUUGUGGAUUGCGGGUACUCGAGUGGCGAACGGGUGAGUAACACGUGAGUGAUCUGCCCCCAACUUGGGUAUAAGCCUGGGAAACUGGGUCUAAUUCCCGAUAGGACUGCAGGGUGGUGCCUGUGGUGGAAAACGAUUUUCUAGUGGUUGGGGAUGAGCUCGCGGCCUAUCAGCUUGUUGGUGGGGUAAUGGCCUACCAAGGCGGCGACGGGUAGCCGGCCUGAGAGGGUGGACGGCCACAUUGGGACUGAGAUACGGCCCAGACUCCUACGGGAGGCAGCAGUGGGGAAUAUUGCACAAUGGGCGGGAGCAUGAUGCAGCGACGCCGCGUGGGGGAUGACGGCCUUCGGGUUGUAAACUCCUUUCGACCGCGAGGAAGCCACCUGGUUGGAAGGGUGGUGACGGUAGUGGUAGAAGAAGCACCGGCUAACUACGUG